Molecule: small nuclear RNA, 107 nt
Organism: Ictidomys tridecemlineatus (thirteen-lined ground squirrel)
Lineage: Eukaryota; Metazoa; Chordata; Mammalia; Rodentia; Sciuridae
Source: Ensembl
UUGCUUGCUUUGGCAGCACAUAUACUAAAAUUGGAAUGAUACAGAGAAGAUUAGCCUGGCCCCUGCACAAAGAUGAUACUCAAAUUUGUGAAGCAUUAAAAUAAAUA